AGACUGAUGCUUUGACUGUCUCCCAUAUCAUUCGAUAAUAAAGAUCCACUACUUGCCUUGUCGACGCUAAACUCAGUACCUCGCUUCCUUACUAGUACACCUACUAGACCCAUACUCAUUACGAAUGUGUUCACCAGACAUCUGACUUAGCAACCUUCUGCUUUCUUAAUGAAGAUCGAUCUGGUAGAGGAGAAGUAGAUCCAUUCAAGUCCAAAGCAAGGUGGAAAGUCUCAAUUCAAUGCUGCGGUUGAUGACCGUAGCAAUAGUCAAAGGCACUGGAGGGAAGCCGCUUGGGAGGUGGCUUAUGCUGUUGAAAGCCUAGCUCAUCCUAGCAUGGCAUAUCUGUAUCCCCUGAUAAUGAUCAUUCCUAUUCGAUAUCAUGAAUAGGUAUGCCUGUCAACCAUUUCUAUAUGCGAGAUGGAGGGCUGCUUU
Molecule: long non-coding RNA, 432 nt
Filed under: Nicotiana benthamiana
Lineage: Eukaryota; Viridiplantae; Streptophyta; Magnoliopsida; Solanales; Solanaceae
Description: long non-coding RNA (NBEN_LNC003144)
Source: RNAcentral